Molecule: ribosomal RNA, 253 nt
Filed under: uncultured bacterium
Lineage: Bacteria
Description: partial 16S ribosomal RNA
Rfam family: Bacterial small subunit ribosomal RNA
Source: RNAcentral
UACGAAUGGGGCGAGCGUUGUUCGGAAUCACUGGGCUUAAAGCGUGCGUAGGCGGAGAUGCAAGUCAGAAGUGAAAGCCCCGGGCUUAACCCGGGAACUGCUUUUGAAACUGCAUCUCUAGAAUCCGGUAGAGGUCAGGAGAAUUCCUAGUGUAGAGGUGAAAUUCGCAGAUAUUAGGAGGAAUACCAGUGGCGUAGGCGCCUGACUGGGCCGGUAUUUACGCUGAGGUACGAAAGCGUGGGUAGCAAACAGG